AACGAACGCUGGCGGCAUGCCUAACACAUGCAAGUCGAACGAGACCUUCGGGUCUAGUGGCGCACGGGUGCGUAACGCGUGGGAACCUGCCCUUAGGUUCGGAAUAACUCCCCGAAAGGGGUGCUAAUACCGGAUAAUGUCUUCGGACCAAAGAUUUAUCGCCUUUGGAUGGGCCCGCGUUGGAUUAGCUAGUUGGUAGGGUAAAAGCCUACCAAGGCGACGAUCCAUAGCUGGUCUGAGAGGAUGUUCAGCCACACUGGGACUGAGACACGGCCCAGACUCCUACGGGAGGCAGCAGUGGGGAAUAUUGGACAAUGGGCGAAAGCCUGAUCCAGCAAUGCCGCGUGAGUGAUGAAGGCCUUAGGGUUGUAAAGCUCUUUUACCCGGGAUGAUAAUGACAGUACCGGGAGAAUAAGCGCCGGCUAACUCCGUG
Molecule: ribosomal RNA, 433 nt
Filed under: uncultured bacterium
Lineage: Bacteria
Description: partial 16S ribosomal RNA
Rfam family: Bacterial small subunit ribosomal RNA
Source: RNAcentral